GGUCUAGAGAUAGAUCAGGCCUUCGGGACAGAAGAGACAGGUGGUGCAUGGUUGUCGUCAGCUCGUGUCGUGAGAUGUUGGGUUAAGUCCCGCAACGAGCGCAACCCUUAUCAUUAGUUGCUAACAUUCAGUUGAGAACUCUAAUGAGACUGCCAGUGAUAAACUGGAGGAAGGUGGGGAUGACGUCAAAUCAUCAUGCCCCUUAUGACCUGGGCUACACACGUGCUACAAUGGCCGGUACAAAGAGUUGCGAAACUGUGAAGUUAAGCUAAUCUCAUAAAGCCGGUCUCAGUUCGGAUUGUAGUCUGCAACUCGACUACAUGAAGUCGGAAUCGCUAGUAAUCGCGAAUCAGAAUGUCGCGGUGAAUACGUUCUCGAGUCUU
This 383-nucleotide ribosomal RNA is filed under the name uncultured Bacillota bacterium. RNAcentral describes it as "bacterial SSU rRNA". It matches the Rfam family "Bacterial small subunit ribosomal RNA", at positions 997 to 1382 of the family's 1533-position model. The record is from RNAcentral. Lineage: Bacteria; Bacillati; Bacillota.